This 76-nucleotide transfer RNA is filed under the name Clostridium sp. CAG:58. Its description in RNAcentral is "transfer RNA-Thr(GGT)". It matches the Rfam family "tRNA". From Rfam's summary of the family: Transfer RNA (tRNA) molecules are approximately 80 nucleotides in length. Their secondary structure includes four short double-helical elements and three loops (D, anti-codon, and T loops). The record is from RNAcentral. Lineage: Bacteria; Bacillati; Bacillota; Clostridia; Eubacteriales; Clostridiaceae.
GCUGCUAUAGCACAGUCGGUAGUGCGCAUCCUUGGUAAGGAUGAGGUCACCAGUUCGAUUCUGGUUAGCAGCUCUA